CCCGUGGCAUAUGGAGGUUCCCAGGCUGGGGGUCAAGUCGGAGCUGUAGCUGCCGAUCUACACCACAGCCACAGCAACACAGGAUCUGAGCCGCAUCUGUGACCUACACCACAGCUCAUGGCCACACCAGAUCCUUAACCCGCUGAUCGAAGCCAGGGAUUGAACCUACGUCCUCAUGGAUGCUAGUCAGAUUCGUUUCCACUGAGCCACAACAGGAAUUCCCUGGAUAUACUUUUUUAAAGGGGGAUUCUUUCUAGGGUUUAUAUUGAGAUAUGCCUCAACCUGAACCCUAGGAGCCACAAAAGCUGUGAUGUUCUGUCACUUACUUGCAAGAAGGCCCUGGGGUCUCCUGAAUGCUGAAGACGAAGAAGAGGGCAGCAGCAAACACUCGGUGCUAACUGUGUGCACUGACCAAGCCAAUCCCAACGAUCCCACAAGGCAGGUGUGAAGAUUGGCCUCAUUGUACAGAUUAGGAAAACGAAGCCCAGAGCGGUGGAGUCACUUGCCCAAGGUCACACAGCAUAGAGUGGAAGAGCCGGGAUUCGCGGCCCGGCUGGGAAUAAAUUCAGAAGGGAAGGAAGUCUAUCCAGACUUCAAGAACAAGGAAACCCAGAAGUGGUUGUCGAGGGGGUCCCUCUGAACCCCUCUUCAAGUAUCACGAGGGACCCUUGUCACCCUCGUGGCCUUGGCAGCUCCUUCCAGCCUGCAGACCUGAUGGGAAACAGCAGGACCGCGCUCGGCCAGGUACAGAGGUGCCCGGGAGGGCAGUGAUGCUGGGCCCCCAAAGCCGGCCUGGCCCCCACAGCUGCUGCCGGAAGCAGAGAGAGCUGGGCAGCGCUGAGCCUCCUGGUGCCAGAAGGGAACAGAGUGAUGGAGGAGACUGGCAUGCAGCCAAGCUUGCUGGUGCGGGCACACCUGCCAAGGUGGGCUCUAGGGGCAGCCUGGGAACCGUGGGGAGUAAGGGCCUGUCCUCAUCAAAACUAGAAAAGUGCAGACGUUUCCCCGACAGGGAAGGACGCCUGGGGAAAGUUCCAGAACCAGGGACCUGCACUAUCCUUCUGGGUGGAAUAGCCACCCUGUGAUGAGGGGGUGGCUGGAGCCCUGAGCUGGUUCUGACUCCACUCUGAACACCUGGGGGCCCCAGGUGAGCCCCAGGGCUCCUGUCUGGCUUCAGUUCCCUCAUCUCUGCAACGGGAGCAAAGCAAGCCCAGCCGCCGGGGUAUCCGGGCAAACCCGACACCAGCAUCCUGGCACAGGGCAACUGCGGUCCUUGACCGCGGCGCCCCGGCUCUCUCGGGAUUUUCUAAAAGAGGGUUAUGUUUUCACACACACACACACACACACACACACACACGUUGUGGUUAAGCCAAGAACUGAAUUCUCGGCCAAGGAAAUCAAAUUAAAAAACCCCAGGGGAAGGUGAUUGAGAGGCACUGACAAGCCUCUCUAAUACCUUCUCUGAAACUCGGUCUGCACAGCGACACCCAGACUCUCGUGCUUUAGAGGCUUUUCAGCAGGAUUUGAGCCUCUGCGUGCAGGCAGCAUGCGUGCGGUGACAUCGCCCUGCCCCGUAUUGACUGGACACGUCGGGGACACACAGCAAUGCCCAGGAGAGCAGGGGGCAUCUUUCUCAGCUGACUUUUUUUUUUUUUUUUUUUUUGGCGCCACAUCUGCGUCACGUGGAAGUUCCCGGGUCAGGGAUCAAACCUGCGCCAGAUCAGCGACCCAAGCGCUACAGUGAUAACCCCAGAUUCUUCACCUGCUGGGCCACAGGAGAACGCCUCAGCUGACUCUCCCUGCCUCACUUGCGCUCUCUUUUUAACCCAAAAGGAUAUAUUCCAUAUAGCGACACAGAAUACUACCAUACACGCUGAAGAACUAUCUUGGGUGGAAUAUUUUGCGAUUCAGAACCUUUUGGUCAAAAACUAUCCGUUGACUCUUGGUGAUUCUGCCUGCGAGGAGCCGCCUGAAGGAGGGGAGGUGGUUUGAAAUGGGAAGUAAGAAAUGCAGGGGCUGGGGGACAAUUUGGGGAGGAAGCUUCUUGCACCCCCGCCCCCCAACACCUUGCUCUUGGCUUUUGGUUCUGCCCUUUGUUACGGCACAGCUUUACAGUGCAUUAAAAUCCCACGGCGGGAGGGACUUCUCGCCCACGAGCCAUGUUUAUUUCCGCUUUGCAGGUGUGGAAACUGAGAUCCAGAAAGGGCAAGCCCCCUUGCCCAGGAUGACGCAGCCAGCUAGCGGCAGUGUCACUUCCAAAGGUCUGUGCCUGGCUCCUAAAGCCGUCCGCCCCUCCCCCAGGCUCGGGGGCUAAAAGCAAACAGCUGGGAUGAAGCCUGCCUUGAAAUAAAUAGGUGCCAGCACCCAGCCUCCCCAAGUCCUGAAGAUUUCAGAGACACUGGUGAAGUUGCCCCAAGGAAAAACAACCAACCAACCCCCGGACAUCUACCAGAAAUGAUCUGGUGCUUAAAUGUGGCUUUGAUGGUGUGCUGGGUUCUGCAUUCAUGAAACAGGGCAUAGGCCUGAUAGGCCGGCUGGGAGCGGGGCUGUGUCUGCUCUCACACCUGCACGGGGCCGGGCCGAGGAGGUGAUGGUGGGUCUCCCGGGGUGUGAAAGUAAACAGGGGGUGUUCUCUUUGCACGGUUCCUCACUUAAUUACACCAAUAAGAACUUGAAAGCAAGCCUAGCCACGGAGAAUCGGUGAUACCGAUGUAAUCUAAAUACAGAAACUGGAAGGUCUCUAGCAGCUCGCUCUAAAUAUUUAACUAAGCCCACCAGCCUCCCAGGAACUGGGCUCCACAGCUGCGUAACAAAGGCUGUUGUGGCAAUUCAUUAGCUACAUUUUUAAACGUAGGAACUCAAGGAUAUCACAGAUUU
Molecule: long non-coding RNA, 2874 nt
Filed under: Sus scrofa (pig)
Lineage: Eukaryota; Metazoa; Chordata; Mammalia; Artiodactyla; Suidae
Description: lncRNA (ENSSSCG00015036012.1)
Source: RNAcentral